CGGAUCGACGGGUGUUUUGCUGUUUCGCCCGGUAUUGCCAACCGAAGGAGGACGGCGUCAGGAAGGCGAAGGUCCA
This 76-nucleotide non-coding RNA is filed under the name unclassified sequences. Its description in RNAcentral is "CyVA-1 RNA". It matches the Rfam family "CyVA-1 RNA". Rfam says of the family: Cyanobacteria, Acidobacteria (1 example), Verrucomicrobia (1 example). Big IGRs The record is from Rfam by way of RNAcentral.